UUUUAUAGGUUAAGGUAACGUGUUAGAUCGCUAGUUUGUGGUGCUAGAGGUUUCGGAAGUACGAGUAAAAGAA
This 73-nucleotide transfer RNA is filed under the name Homalogaster paloniae. Its description in RNAcentral is "tRNA-His". Lineage: Eukaryota; Metazoa; Platyhelminthes; Trematoda; Gastrodiscidae. The record is from RNAcentral.